GAUGAACGCUGGCGGCGUGCCUAAUACAUGCAAGUCGAGCGAAUGGAUUAAGAGCUUGCUCUUAUGAAGUUAGCGGCGGACGGGUGAGUAACACGUGGGUAACCUGCCCAUAAGACUGGGAUAACUCCGGGAAACCGGGGCUAAUACCGGAUAACAUUUUGAACCGCAUGGUUCGAAAUUGAAAGGCGGCUUCGGCUGUCACUUAUGGAUGGACCCGCGUCGCAUUAGCUAGUUGGUGAGGUAACGGCUCACCAAGGCAACGAUGCGUAGCCGCCCUGACAGGGUGAUCGGCCACACUGGGACUGAGACACGGCCCAGACUCCGACGGGAGGCAGCAGUAGGGAAGCUUCCGCAAUGGACGAAAGUCUGACGGAGCAACGCCGCGUGAGUGAUGAAGGCUUUCGGGUCGUAAAACUCUGUUGUUAGGGAAGAACAAGUGCUAGUUGAAUAAGCUGGCACCUUGACGGUACCUAACCAGAAAGCCACGGCUAACUACGUGCCAGCCGCCGCAGUAA
Molecule: ribosomal RNA, 515 nt
Filed under: uncultured bacterium
Lineage: Bacteria
Description: partial 16S ribosomal RNA
Rfam family: Bacterial small subunit ribosomal RNA
Source: RNAcentral